CGGAGGAUCCAAGCGUUAUCCGGAAUCAUUGGGUUUAAAGGGUGCGUAGGCGGAAUGAUAAGUCAGUGGUGAAAUCCUGCAGCUUAACUGCAGAACUGCCAUUGAUACUGUCAAUCUUGAGUACAUUUGAUGUGGGCGGAAUGUGUCAUGUAGCGGUGAAAUGCUUAGAUAUGACACAGAACACCGAUUGCGAAGGCAGCUCACAAAACUGUAACUGACGCUGAGGCACGAAAGCGUGGGUAUCAAACAGGAUUAGAUACCCUGGUAGUCCACGCUGUAAACUAUGAUUACUCGAUGUUUGCGAUACACUGUAAGCGUCUAAGCGAAAGCGAUAAGUAAUCCACCUGGGGAGUACGCUCGCAAGAGUG
This 368-nucleotide ribosomal RNA is filed under the name uncultured organism. RNAcentral's name for it is "bacterial SSU rRNA". It matches the Rfam family "Bacterial small subunit ribosomal RNA", at positions 526 to 896 of the family's 1533-position model. The record is from RNAcentral.